Molecule: non-coding RNA, 103 nt
Filed under: Thalassiosira minuscula
Lineage: Eukaryota; Bacillariophyta; Thalassiosirophyceae; Thalassiosirales; Thalassiosiraceae
Source: RNAcentral
GAUGUUGAAAAAGCGGUUUCCGCCGCCAAAGAAGGCGGCAUGGAGAUUUUCGAACCUGAUCAGGCUCUGACGGAAGCGCUGGCGGAAUUUGUAACUGCCGACG